RNAcentral lists this ribosomal RNA (234 nucleotides) under uncultured Candidatus Saccharibacteria bacterium. Its description in RNAcentral is "partial 16S ribosomal RNA". It matches the Rfam family "Bacterial small subunit ribosomal RNA", at positions 584 to 818 of the family's 1533-position model. The record is from RNAcentral. Lineage: Bacteria; Candidatus Saccharimonadota.
UAAGCGGGAUGUGAAAUCCAAGGGCUCAACCCUUGAACUGCAUCUCGAACUGGCAAACUUGAGAAUGGGAGAGGAAGCUGGAAUUCCUAGUGUAGGAGUGAAAUCCGUAGAUAUUAGGAGGAACACCAAUGGCGAAGGCAGGCUUCUGGCCCAUUUCUGACGCUGAGGCACGAAAGCGUGGGGAGCGAACGGGUUAGAUACCCCGGUAGUCCACGCCGUAAACGAUGGAUGCUA